CCUCCUCCGCCAGCGCCAGCGCCACCGUCACAACCUCCUCCUCCACCACCAACGUCGCCUACCCCACCUCCAAAAUCUCCUCCUCCACCACCAACGUCGACAACCCCCCCGGCCAUACCCCCAUGGCCACCGAACAUACCCCCAUGGCCACCGGACAGACGGCCAGGUCUGCCAUUAUAACCUCGCGCCCUGCAUAGAAGACCUACUACCACAGCCACAACGGCUACCGAACACCAAACAGCGAUCAUAGCAACAGCCACCGAGUUCAUCUUUAUCGUCUU
RNAcentral lists this long non-coding RNA (281 nucleotides) under Vitis vinifera (wine grape). RNAcentral describes it as "long non-coding RNA (VVIN_LNC002575)". The record is from RNAcentral. Lineage: Eukaryota; Viridiplantae; Streptophyta; Magnoliopsida; Vitales; Vitaceae.